Molecule: transfer RNA, 75 nt
Filed under: Chloroflexota bacterium
Lineage: Bacteria; Bacillati; Chloroflexota
Description: Chloroflexi bacterium tRNA-Ala
Rfam family: tRNA
About the family: Transfer RNA (tRNA) molecules are approximately 80 nucleotides in length. Their secondary structure includes four short double-helical elements and three loops (D, anti-codon, and T loops).
Source: RNAcentral
GGGGGCGUAGCUCAGUGGGAGAGCGCUGCGUUCGCAUCGCAGAAGUCAGGGGUUCGAGUCCCCUCGCCUCCACCC